RNAcentral lists this transfer RNA (62 nucleotides) under unidentified. Its description in RNAcentral is "Iphicrates gressitti tRNA-His". The record is from RNAcentral.
ACUUAAAUAGUUUAAUUAGAAUAAUAAUUUGUGGUGUUAUUGGUGUAAAUUUACUUUAGGUU